Molecule: transfer RNA, 88 nt
Filed under: Acidimicrobiales bacterium
Lineage: Bacteria; Bacillati; Actinomycetota; Acidimicrobiia; Acidimicrobiales
Description: tRNA-Leu
Rfam family: tRNA
About the family: Transfer RNA (tRNA) molecules are approximately 80 nucleotides in length. Their secondary structure includes four short double-helical elements and three loops (D, anti-codon, and T loops).
Source: RNAcentral
GUCGGAGUGGCGGAAUUUGGUAGACGCGCCAGCUUGAGGGGCUGGUGCCCGCAAGGGCGUGGGGGUUCAAGUCCCCCCUCCGACACCA